Molecule: ribosomal RNA, 399 nt
Filed under: Triticum aestivum (bread wheat)
Lineage: Eukaryota; Viridiplantae; Streptophyta; Magnoliopsida; Poales; Poaceae
Description: partial small subunit ribosomal RNA
Source: RNAcentral
AUGUUCAUAAUGCAGAUCGACCAGGCUGCUUCGGGGAACUCCAAGGGCAAGGAGGUGGUUGUGGCCGACAAGAAGGCCAAGGCGGUGGUGGAGCUCGGCAGCGCCCCCAAGCGGUCGAAGAACUACGGCCAUUUCCAUGUGAAUGUUAGCCCAACCCACUUCUACAAGGUCAUCCUUGCACCCAAGCUGGAGUGUCAGCCGAUGCCACUAGGGUUCACCAAGCACUUCACCGCUGUCCCAGAGGAAUUCAAGCUGAAGACGAGCACCGACUGCUCCUGGAGGGUGACAAUCCGGAUGAUCAACGGCAGGCUCACCCUUGAUAAGGGUUGGCGCCCUUUGUUCACCAGAUCAGGUUUGGGUACCUCGUCACCUUCAAGCUGGCGACUCCCAACACCCUAA